This 35193-nucleotide long non-coding RNA is filed under the name Capsicum annuum. Its description in RNAcentral is "long non-coding RNA (CANN_LNC003021)". The record is from RNAcentral. Lineage: Eukaryota; Viridiplantae; Streptophyta; Magnoliopsida; Solanales; Solanaceae.
CAUGUCAAACCUAAAGGCCUUCGGAACCAAGACUCUUGGAACUGGAACUACCUAUCUAUGGAAAUUCCUACUGACAUCAAACUCAAAGCUUCUACCUAAGGCUCAACCAUUCUAUACCUGAUAUUCCCUACUGGACCCUCAACUAUAAUGGUUUAUUCUUAACCAAAUCGGCGCACCAACUCCUGCAUACUCAUCAACCUUCGGCUAUCUAUGAGUUUGAUUGGAUAUGGACCCUCAAUACUCUUCCCAAAAUCAAAAUGUUUCUCUGGUUAUGCUCCCACAAUAAAGUUGCUUCAAAUGCUCAUCAUUAUCAUCUAGGGUUACUACUGCGAGAUGUGCCAUUUGUAAUGGCGUGAUAGAAAAAUUAACUCAUAUCCUAUUUGAUUGUCCGCGAAUCAGAAAACAUUGUUUAGAUAUGGGUUUGAAUAUGAACAAUCAUAUUAACACCUCUACCCACGGGCUCUCUAAUAUUAACAAUCUUAAGAUUCCUCUUCGAAAUUCAAAUGUCUCUUGGCAUGUUUUUUACCCUUUUGCAUUAUUAAACUUAUGGAUUUACAGAAACCAAAUGAUUUUUAAUAAGGCCCGCCACCAGUAAAGCCUCUCUCUUACAACUACAUCCUAAUGCGGCCUUUUGAAUAUUUGUACACUGCUACUACUAUCCUCAAACAACUGAUAAAAUAGUUGUUCCCAUCCUAUGAUUUCCCCCUGCUAACGGCCUCAAACUUAAUAUAGACGGGGUGUUUUUACUUCAAACUCUCACUGCUAGACUAGGCGGAGUCAUCCGAAACUCUAACGUACAAGGUUUUUAUAUGAAAACUACCUCCCUAAAUUCCCCCAUGGCUGAACUCCAAGCUUUAGUCCAGGACCUUUACUUGGCAAAAGCCAAAAAACUCACCCAAGUGGAAAUUGAAACAGACUAAACUGACUUAAUUCAUCAACUUCACCAUGCUUCCCCAUUUUAUACUGAUCUUGUGCUCUCUUGCAGGUUAAUGUUGAAGGAAUUGGAGAAUUCGCUGGUCCGACAUAAUUUCCAAUAGGGUAAUAUGAUGGCAGAUGUUUUGGCUAAGACAGGUUGCAAUAUCAUCACACCUAUUAGUAUUAAUCCUCGUAUUUUGGAUGCACCACUGGAAAACCAUAUCAAGGUUUUGGAAGCGGAUGCUUCAGAAGCAGUCUCCACUAAAUUUGUAUCUGCAGCUGCUUGUAAUAUUUUAGCAACCUUAGCAUAAUCAAUGUAAAUAAUGUUAGAACUACUUUAGAUGCUGCUACUCCUAGUACUAGUUUAGAUGCUAAUGCUAUGGCUUAUGGCCCUGUACAACAGGUUACUGCCUCUACUAUUGUAAAUCUCUAAAUUUGUGAUAUAUAUAUAAAAAAAAAUGUAUAUGUAUAUUAUCAUCCCUAUUACCAAAAAAAAAUCUCUCCCUGCUAAAUUAAAGAAUGUUAUAAUAUUUAUAUCACCUUAGUUCUUGUUUAGAUUAAUACAAACAUUCCUAUAGUACUUUCUCCGUUUCUUUAUUCACUUUUCAAGAGUCAAUUUAACUAGUUUUCAAAACUAAAUUGAAUUGAAUUAAUUCAAUUUAGAUAUUUAUAAACUACACAAAAAGCACUACGAUUUAUAGUUCAUCUCAUAUCAAUAUAGUGAGAAAAUAUAUCCUAGAAAAUAUUAAUUAAAGUUUAUGUAAUUUGAUUCUUAAAGAGUGAAACGUGAUAACUAUUUAUUAUUUUAUUUAAAGUAGGUCACUUCCACCCCUACAUAUUAUGAAAAUUUUAUGCUUACGCUUCCAAUGAGAUAAUAUCUAUAACUAAGUAUUUCAAACUUAGACAAAAUCAAAAUUGUAAAUAAAAAGACAAAUAUUUUCGAUAAAAUUUUUAUCCAUAUAAUUUUUAAAAAGUGUUUUUUUUUAAUAUGUAACUUUUAAAACUCAUAAAUAAAAAUGGGUACAAUUACUUAAUAAGUCCAAAACUAUUUAAACCUUAUACAUAAUAGAAAUCUCAAACAAAUCAGAUAAAAUAUGUCAUUUACUUUAAUGUUUCAAUAGGCCUUAAAACUCCAUAUAUUUUUUACUUGAUAUUAAUAGGUAUAAUUAAAAGAGAUGACAUUUUAUGUAGCUUAAAUUCCCAUGUAAUCAAGCUUUUCUAAUAGUGUAAUAUGCAAUAGACAUGUAACCUAUACAUGCAAUUUACAAGAAAGUUUAAAUACUCCGUAGGCCUUUUAGGGAGAAACAAAAAGGAGAUCUAUUGGGAGCGUUGCCACCUUAAUGGGCCCUACAAUACGCGAUCUGGAUUAGUCGGGGCUCCAAUGCAGGCAUCAAACACCGGGUGAGAAACCAAAAAAAAAAAAAGAUUUAUACAGCUACAAGACUAUGACCACGCCAAGUAACUAUAUCUGAAAAUAAACAAACAAAUAAAAGAUUCAACACUAACCAUAAAACAUAGAUCAUACCCUUACCUUUGGGAUAGAGUUCAAUACUGAAGAAUAUUUUGAAAACAAAUUAGGAUUCUAAUAAUCCAUCGCUUACACCUACAUUAAGAAUUCACUUAAAAAUAGUUGAAAAGAAAAAAGAUAAAAUCAAUGAUUUUUUCAACUAUUUCCUUCGAUAGUAACAUACUUGUUAUACAAUUUUUCGAUCAAUUUUCACCUGAAAGAGAAACAUGAGAAAUUAUAAAAAAAAAAAAAAAGAAAGAAAGAAUACAUUGAAAAUUAUUGAUUACAUAUAGUUUAUAUAUAUAACUUUUAAUUGAAUUGACAAAAACAAAAGAGAUUGAUGAUGAUAAUGUUGGAUGUAAGACCUUGAAUCAAAGCCAAAGAAGAAUAGUGAAAUUAUGAUUUUUUUUUAAGUGACCUAAUAAUAUAAAAUACAUUUACAUUAUUUGUGUGUAAACAUAAACUUAAUAUAUAUAUAUAUAUAUAUAAACUUUAAGCUGACAAACUAAUUUUAAAAUUUCAUGAGUCUAGCUAGUUUAACAUUUUAUUCGGUAUGCUAUAGAGAUAUAUAUUUUACAUGAACUCUAAUUGUUGGUUUAUUAGUAACGAAUAAUGAUUGAAAAGUUUUUAAUGGAUUAUAAGUCUUAAUUAAAAGAGACUAAUCGCGAACAACUUAUGAUUGUCUUUCGCAUACAUGAGAAACAUUGUGAAACAAAUCGAUGAGGUUAGUGAUCCAAACUAGGGACAUUACAACAAUUUAUGAUAUAAUUUCCAGGCUGAUGAUUAGGCCAUCAACUUGAAACACAGUGUCUGAGUGUCUAUGAUCGAGAUGCAAGCAAAGGAACAACUUGCACUCUUAUUGAAUUCCUGCAGUACAUCAAAUGGAAGCGAAGACUCCUCAUCCUAAGCUUGUGUCUCAAUAUGCUACCUAAAAUAUAAAUUCAGGGAAAAAAUGUAUCCACUUUUGUUCGUUCUAGAACAACUUUUCACUUUAAGAAUCAUAAUCAGAGAAGACUCCACACUUUUAUAACAAGCAAGACAUUCAAGCUAGCACUACAAUGACUACAUAGAAGGCAAGUUUUUACACUACGCAUGUUACAUACACGAGUGAAAGCUCAAGAAUACUACUUCAAAAUAUCCUAGCGUCAAGAAUUGACACACCAAGUUGGCAGGUUCAUGCAUAUUACUUAAUCGAAGAGAUCACACAAAUCACUAAACUAUCAUCAAACAUGUGCCCUCACCACAAGAGAGUUACCCAUAAUCACUCACGUAGAUGCAAUUUAUUACAAACUGGGUAUAAGAAUUAAUUUACGCUCACAAAGAAUUCACAAAUUAUACAAGAUGAACCAUAGGUUUGUCCUUAGUAUAGUACUCCACUAAUAUCAGAAUGUAAAAACUCAGGAUCAAGUAGGUCUUUGAGGGUUGGAAUGUAGGUUAAGGGAUGGGUAGGAUCUAUUCUGGCCAAAGAUAGUGACUAUCUUCCCUAAGCGCUUUAAAACAUCACACUUUUCAUUCAAUCCACUUCUAACAACAACUUUCACCACUUCUAUAUACACACCUCUUUUGUUUGGUCACUAAGCACUUUAAUACAUCACAUUUUUCAUUCAAUUCACUUCUAAUAAACAACUUUCACCACUUCUUGUUGGUGAAAUUACAAUAAACUUACAACUGAAAAUUACAAGUAAGGAAAAUAAAAAGAAUAUCUUUUUCUUCGGCUGAGGCGCGGAUAUCUCGCUCUCUUUAAGGAGAUUCAAGCCUACUGUAAUAAAUGUUUCACCGGUCUAGCAGUAAUCUUCUUGACUUGUCCCCUUCAGGAUACAACAGCCUUUCUCACAAAGAACAACUCAACAACUCUUAGACAAGAGUUGAGUUCAAAGAUCCACAAAAAGAACACCUCCCUUCAACUAAUGAACUCUUUUUUUUACUAUCUUUUGUGUAUGUGUACCAAAAACAUGCAAGACUACCUAUAUUAAUAGGUGAGAAAUCUUCCAUGCAAAGAAUAAGAAUGAAUGUAGGGUAGUAAAGAUAGAAUAUCAAUGGCUUAGAGGUUACAAGAGCUACAUGAGUUACACCACAUAAAGAAUAGGGUAAUGGUGGAAUUAAGAAUGAAAGUUACAAGAGUUACAUGAAACUUAUGUCCAUAUUCUACCACCACUAACUAUUGGCAUAAAACACAAGGAAGUAAAGAGGGAGUAAUCCUCUUGGAUGUUUUUGGGGGCUGAUUAUCAGCCAUGCAAACAUAUGUGGAUUACUGCCAAAUAAAGGUGAUUAACUCUUUCAAGAUUAAUAGGCAAUUGAAGUGAGAGUUGCUACCAAGAAUGUAACUUAAGUCAUCCAACCACUAACGUCCAACAUUAAGACUUUUGAUACAAAUGAGACAAAUUAAUAAAAAUAUUAAAAUGCUAAAAAAAAUAUCAAAACCCCACUCAUUUUAAUAUUAACAAGAGAGUCCACUAGUUGAAGGAAUACUAUUAUCUAUAAUGAAGGUGUGCUCUGCAUUGAACCUCCACUUAGUAACAUAAUAAUUUUUACUCUAGAGUUGUAGUGGUCUCAGACUUGAACUAUGAAUACUUAUGGGAAAAUAAAAAGUUACUGUUUACACAUAAUAGUCAAGGUGUUGACAUGAGUUUUAUAGCCAGCACAUUGCGGCCUUGUGCUAUUUCGAUUUCAUGAGUGUCUUUGAGAAUGAGCCCAAUUCUCAUAGGAAGCUGCCUACCUCCACACUCACAUAGGUAAAAUUCGUCGAGAGUACUCCUGUAAUUUAGCACCCCACUCAUACGAGCUACAGAUUUUCAUUAAGAGUUUUUUUAAACUCAACCUCACCCACAUUACAGGUUAAUACACUCACACCAUAGGGAGGGAUAAAAAGUAGUGCAUUUUUCAUAAUAAGCCAUCAUGUGAUUCGUUUUUCCAAUUGAACCUGGUUAUAGGAUCUCUAGUCCCAGGUUGGGUGUCCUCACAUAUGACUCAAGAUUCAAUAGGCUUCAAUCUCAUCUUCCUCGAUGUCCUCCAUACAUUUUUUCUUGCUAAGGCCUUAGUCAAUGGAUCUAUAAGAUUAUCACAAAAUUUGACAUAAUCAACAUUAAUGGUGUCAUUUAUCAAAUAUGAUCUCACAUUACUAUGUUUUCUCCUUAUUGGUCUGGAUUUACUGUUGUAAUAACGGUUUUAAACUCUACCAAUUAUAGCGGUACUAUCACAAUGAAUUAAAAUAGGAGGAAUUACCUUUUCAAAAUAAGGUAUUUGAAAUAACAAAUCUCUCAACGAAUUUGCUUCCUCACUAGCUGAAGCUAAAGCACUUAGUUCAGUCUCCAUGGUAGAGUUAGCAAUAAUUGUUUGCUUUUUAGACUUUCAACAAAUAGCAGCACCACCUAAAGUAAAAAUAUAACCAGUAGUGGAUAAGGAAUCACCUAAUAAAGUGCUCCAACCCAUACCACAAAAGCCUUCAAGUAUAGCAGGAUAUUUUUUAAAGAACAAACUAUAAUUUUUUGUUCCAAUUAAAUAUCUCAUUACUCUCGUUAUAGCAUGCCAAUUCAUUACCUGUCUUGUUAGUAAACAUGUGAUAACGUUCAAACUACACCUCUCUAAUGAGAAUAUAAGCGAUCUUUGUCAAUAUAAAAUCCAAAUAGGUUGGGGUCAAAUCCCACAGGGAAUAUGGUGUGAACUCAAGUCAUUUGCGAUUUAAUCAACUGAUAGUUGAAUGUUUCCUGAAAUGGGGCUUUGAGUUUAACAAGUAAUUGUUGGUCAUUUUUCUUUCUGUGUUUGAAAUCAAGAGUUUAUGGAAUAAUCGGAAUUAUGUUCACUAGGGUUUUUGGUACUUGACAGAUGCUAAUAGCGGUUCAAGAUUCUCACAGUAGGUAGGACAACAAGUUAUCUUUAUUUGAAAUUACGCCUAAAAGUCUCUCGACCUACUUAAGCAUUUAAUUACCUAAUUCUCUUGAACUUAGGGAAUUUAUGCUCACAGACCAGAUUUUACCUCAGGUUAAUCAACCUUGUUAUAAUGUCAAUUAUUAAAUGGAAGGUUGGUGGCUUCCAAGUCCCUAUUGAUAAUUCUCUUCCUACUGUAUUUGAUUUCUUUCUCAAGCAAAUCAAAGCAGGUGUUAUCUAUUAUUUGCAACUAAUAGAAAAUAAUGAAAACCUCAGAAUUAUCAAGAAGUCCUACAACCUUGUGAAUCUUGAACACUUAGCACCUUAUCAAGACUUAACCCUAGAUCCCAUAAUUCAGGCUAAAAAAAUUUAGCCGCUCAUGAUGUAAUAAUCAAAACAACUAGUUGUAUUCAUGAUUCGAAAGAUAAACUUACCACAAGAUGAAUAGAAACUAGAACAUCUCAGAUUAGAUCACAAUAGAAAUCCCAAAAUAAUGAUUAAAAUCUCUUCAAAGUAAUUGUUUUUUCAAGCCAAGAAACUAGAGAGAGAAAAUAUCAAAAUAUGUCUCAAAAACUCAAGUGCGGAACUCCUAGAAAAACCCUAAACAAUGCUUUAAAUAGUUAAGCCUAAAUAAGGAAACAAAAUUACAGAGUUUAAUAAUCCAUCGAAUUAGGCAAUGAUAUUCAUGACAGUCUAUCAAGAGGCUGGCGACUUAUCACAAAUGUCGUCAGAUUCCUCUUUGCUUUGGACACUCGCUGCCUAAUGCUGACGAUAAACGGUGAUGCCCUAUCAGCUUCUUGACGACUUAUCACAAAUGUCGUCAAGGUUUUACCUCAGCUCUCAUAUUCUGCCUUAGGCUGACGGCAAUCUUAAUGCCUUAUCAGCUCCUUGACGACUUAUCACAAAAUGUUAUCACAGUUUUAAACUUAGGCCAAUUCUCUAUUUACGGCUGACGAUGAACUUGACAGCUUAUCACGGGGCUGACGACAUAUCACAAUUGUCGUCAGCCAUACUUUGUCUCUAUUUACUUUAGAUUUCAGCUCAUUUGCUUCCAUUCUUGUUGGUUUUCUAGCAUCUUAGCUUCUACUGCAAAAGCAAACAUAAAACAAUCAAAAAUGACAAAAGUUGCUUAACACUUUGCAAUUUUUCUCAGUUAAAAGCCUCAAAUGUGUUAGUGUCUGCUCACAUAUCAACACCCUCAACUUAAAACAAUUGUUUGUCCUCAAGCAACCAAAACACAACUAAGAGAAUACAAUGCACAUUUGGCAAUUAAUCAUCCACAGUAUUUCAAAACACUCACACCGUCUCCAAGGUUAGUCAAUUCAAGAACAAUGAAGAACACCAAUGCAACACACAGGAAUUAAGAUACGGCAUUAAUUCAGCUAUAACAACCAUGCAUAGACCUGUAUUACACUCUCCAAAUAAGUUAGCAACUAGCAACAUAUUUGGUUCCCUCACAGCAAAGAGAUUCCCUAUUUCUCAAAUCAAUACAUAUAUGUAACCAUGGGGACAAUCAAAACACUCACUCUUAGAACGAAGUUCCAAUUAGUGUAUGCCAAGUAUCAUAGUCUUUCCCUUGUUUUCAUUAUCCAGACUUCGGAUAGGUCAGCUAGGAUCACUAUAGGUGUUCUCUUUGGCUUGUAACGCAGGUUAGGGGCUGGUAUGAUACUUGAUGGUAUUUAAAGUGACUAAGCCUCCUUGACACUACACUAGCUUUUUGGGGUUUCACUCAUUAGCCUUUUUCACUCUUUUCUUUUCUUGAUCACACUUAUUUAGGAUAGGAGCGGUCUUUUUCACAAUGACUUUAUUCUUUUCCACAAUUUUUCCCUUUCUUGCUCUUUUCUUUCGCACCCAGCUUUUUAUUCUACCUUUCUUCAUACUCAUUCUGUAUCACGCACUCCUAUGAUAUCCACCCUCAACUUAGGCUAUUUUCUUAAGUCAAGGUGCACAGUGUACAAGGAGGACCAGGGCCAAAACAGGUUUAUUAUGAUAUAAAAAGUGAAGGUGAUAGGUGUCAUAAAAAGAAACAGGCUAAUCAGGCUCAAAGCAUAGAUCAAGGGAUAUUCUACCUACCGGGAAGGUCAUUUAGGCUAAAGUGAGCUAAUAUCAAAACAGCCUAUGAUCCUUUCCUAACCCCUAUCCUUCAACCUAGGUAAGACUAACUGGGUAAGUUUUUGCUUCAGCAUACAGAGGGAACUAAGUAAUAACUUUCACACACUUGGCACACAGGUAUAUCACAAUCUACUACUCAUUCAGUUCAUGCAGCUGUUUAGCAAUAAUUAUUGUGUUACUAUAACUAAUGUCAUACAAAGAUGCACAGUGGUCGCACUGAAAUGCAAAUCACACAGUUAAAGAAGUAGACCACUUGAAGAGGUGUACAAAAAUCACAAAAACGAUUCAACUGCCUCAAGUACAUGUAUUUCUCCUAAUUGACUACAAACUUUUACAACAACAAUUUACCCUACACCCUCAACUUAAAAUCCAAGAAAAUCAAAACUAAGGGUUAGAUUAUACCUGGAAUAGCUUAAUCCUGGGGGUCAUGGGUUGCCUCCCAUGUAGCGCCUGAUUUAACAUCGUGGUACGACUCGGGUGUCUCCAUUACUUCAGACUUCAUUGAGACAGAUAGUAGUGAUACCUUUCAUUGGCUCCUUUGGACCAAUAUAAAGUUUGAUUCAUUGCCCAUUUACCUUGAAGGUGCUGCCAUCUUAAUUUUCAAGUUCUACUACUCCAGAUGAGUAGACUUGACUAACUCUAAAUGGGCCUAACCACUUAGAUUUAAGCUUACCUGGGAAUAGUUUGAGCCUAGAAUUGAAUAGAAGCACCAAGUCCCUCUUUUGGAAGUCUCGUUUCUCUAUCCUUCAAUCAUGAUACUUUUUCAUCUAUUCUUUAUAUAGAUCUACUCGUUUAUAUGCCCUGAGACAAAAUUUAUCCAUCUCAUUCAGUUGGCCCAGUCUCAGCUCUGUAUCCUCCUUCCAACUCAAAUUCAACCUUUUUAGUGCCUACAAGGCCAUGUGCUCCGGCUCUAUUGGUAGGUGGCAUGCUUUCCUAUAAACCAGCUGAAAUGGUGACAUGCCAAUAGGUGUCUUGAAAGCAGUCCGAUAUACCUACAAGGCAUCAUCGCGCUUUUGAGUCCAAUCUUUUCUAUUAGCAUUUACCAUUUUGGCUAGGAUAGCUUUAAUCUCUUAAUUUGACACCUCCACUUACCCACUAGUUUGUGGGUGAUAUGGAGUGGCUACUCUAUGCUGUUUCACCCCAUAUUUUGCUAACGCUGGUCGAAACACUUUGUUACAAAAAUGAGAUCUUUCAUCACUAUAAUAGUACGUGAUACUCCAAAGCGAGAGAAGAUAUUCUUCUUGAAAAAAGCACCAACCCUCUUUCUUUCAUUAUCAGUCAAGGCAACGGCUUCGACCCAUUUUGAGACGUAGUCAACAGCAACUAAAAUAUACUUUAUCCCAUACGAGCUCACAAAAGGACCCAUAAAAUUGAUGCCCCAUACGUCAAACAAUUCCACUUCAAGCAUUUUAGUCAAAGGCAUCUUAUGUCUUUUGAAGAUUGACCUCUACCUCUGACAUUGGUCGCAUUUUAGCACAAACUCAUGAGCAUCCUUGAACAAUGUUGGCCAAUAGUAGCCAUUUUACAACACCUUCCUAGCCGUUCGGUCACCUGCAUGGUGACCUCCAACUGAGAAAGCAUGAUAUGCUUCCAAUAUGCAUAAUACAUUCAUCUCUAGCACGCAUCUCCUUAUAAUAUUGUCAGCACAUCGACGAAAGAGAUACGACUCAUACCAAAAGUAAUAUAUCAUAUCAUGCAGGAACUUCUGCCUUUGAUGGAAAGAAAGAUUUUCUGGAAUGAUCUUACUCAUAACAUAAUUUGAAAAAUCAGCGUACCAAGGCAAUUUCUCCACAUCAGUAGCCAAGAUCUCCUCAUCAGGAAAUGCAUUAUUUAUCUCCAUUUCAUCACUAAUUGCCUGCUCACCUUCCAUUCUAGACAGAUGACCUACAACCUGGUUUUCACAACCUAAGUCAAAUUCUUCUAGCAACAAUACCCAUCUAAUCAGCCUUGGUUUUGUAUCCUUCUUAGCCAUCAAAUACCUCAAGGCUACAUGAUCAGUAUGGACCACCACCUUAGUCCCAAGAAGAUAAGCCCUGAAUUUCUCAAAAGCAUACACCAUAGCCAGAAGUUCCUGCUCAGUGAUAGUGUCCUCCACCAUAUCCGAGAAGAUAGACAUCAUGCACCAUUGAAAAGUAGCGGGUUCAUUACACAGCCCAAACGGUAUUCUCUUAAAUGUAAAGGUGUCAUAUGGGCAUAUAAAUGUCAUAUUUUCCUGAUCUUCAGGAGCAAUACAAAUUUGAUUAUAUCUAGAAUAGCCAUCUAAGAAGCAGUACCAUCCCCUUCCAGCCAAUCGAUCAAGUAUUUGGUCCAUAAAGAGCAUUAGGAAGUGGUCUUUCAAAGUCCAUGAGUUUAGUUUGCGGUAGUCCAUGCAAACUCUCCACCCAGUCACAGGCCUAAGUGGAAUCAGCUCAUUCUUGUCAUUUGUAACUACAGUCAUACCACCCUUUUUCGGCACGCAUUGAACUAGGCUUACCCAUUUGCUGUCUGAAACAGGGUAAACCACACCUGCAUCUAACCACUUAAUAAUUUCCUUCUUAACCACCUCUUGCAUUGGUGGGUUAAGAUGGCAUUGGUGCUCGAUAGUCAGAACAUAAUCUUCCUUAAGUUUUAUUUUAUGUGUGCAGAUACCAGGAGGAAUGCCAAUAAUAUCUGCGAUCGUCUAUCCGAUUGCUCUCUUAUACCUCUGAAGUACAGAAAUAAGUGUUUAUACCUGUUGCUUACCUAAAUCAGCCUCAAUAAUAGUGGGUAGCAUGUUUUCAUGGCCAUAAAACACGUACCUUAAAUCCCCAAGCAGUUCUUUUAAUUCCAACAAUGGUGGCUUUUUAGUGGAUGGCUUAGCCGGUGGUGUUGGUCGAUUAGCAAGAUCAAGGUCUAGCUUCUUCAGGGGAUAAGGGUAUGAACCCAUUCCUGCCAAAGAAAAAAUAGUUUUUUCAUACUCCUCAAUUCCUUCACUAUCAAAAUUCAUCAUAACUGCGGCUAAAGGAUCGACAACAAGUUUCUCAGCUAUUGACACCUCCUGUUCAUCCUCAUAAUACACAUCAACUACUGAGAACACACUCAUUUCUUCAUGCUACUUCAUUAAUUUGCACACAUCAAAUUGCACCACCUUAUUAUUCAUCCUGAAUAAGAGCUCAUUAGCUCUCAAAUCAAUCAACACACUUCUGGUCAUGAGGAAAGGUCGACCUAAGAUUAUGGUCACCUCAAAGUCCACCUCGCAAUCCAGAAUGACGAAAUCUGUAGGGAAUAUAAAGCUCCACCUUCACCAACACAUCAUACAAAACACCAAUGGGUUAUUUUACCAACCUAUUUGUCAUUACUAGUCACAUAUUGGUGGGUGUGGGAUUUCCAAGGCACAGCUUUCUAUAUACAGCCAGCGGCAUCAAAUUAAUGCUUGCUCCCAAGUCACAUAAUGCCUUAGCAAAUUCCAUGGACCCAAUAGUGCAUGAGAAGGUAAAUGCUCCCAGGUCUGUCUUUUUUUAUGCUAAAGACCUUGUGGAGAUAGCACCAUAAUGAUGGAUAUUGUCCUUCGGCUCAUGGCUAACCAUCUGUUUCUUUGUGACAAGGUCCUUCAUAAACUUCGCUCCUGGCAUUUGCUCAAGUGCCUCAACCAAUGGCACAUUCACCAUCAAUGAUUUUAGCAUUGCCAUGAAUUUGUUGAAUUUUGCAUCAUCAAGUUUUUUCUUCAACUAUUGAGGAAAGAGAGGUAGUGGUCUUGGGAUAGUUUUCAAAACUACCUCCUUCUCCUUAUCUUUUUCUUUCUUUGGAGCAUCAUCUGACUUAUCCAGCUUCUUAGACUCCACUGGACCUUCUUCUACCAGUUUAUCAUCGACUACUUCAUCAACUACAUGUUUGUCCACAGAAGGGCCAGAUAACAUCCUACCACUUCUAGAGGUAAUCACCAUACAUGAGCCAUCAUUCCGAGGAUUCUGGACUGUAUCACUUGGUAACGUUCCACUCUUCCUUUGGUUAAAUGAUGUGGAGAGUUGGCUCAUCGGCUGCUCUAACUAUUUGAUUGUGGUGGAGUGCGAGUUUAUCAACUGACUGAUGGAUGUCAGAUCGGUCUUCAUGGUGGUCACACCAAAGUUGGUAGCCUCCACUUCCUUCAAAAACUUAGCCAUCUUGUCCUCUAUGGACAUCUUUUCAGAACUUGUUUUAGUAGCCUCAUAAUUUCCAGUAGAAAUAUAUGGCCCGCUCCUAUCAUUGUUAUUCCUCCAAUCUCCCUGCUCUUUAUCUUUAUAGCCAGGCUUAUCAUAAAAGUUCCUACCUUGGUUCCCUUGGCUAUUGCCUCGGAAAACCCCCUGAUUAUUAAUAUAGUUCACCUCUUUUUUUGUAUCAGCAUCAACUCUAUCCUGAGAUCCUAUAGCUUUCACCUUCUCAGUCUUACCUGAUAACAAGUACUUGGUUAGCAAGUCCAUUUUCAUUUUAAGGUGAGGUAUGUCUUGGUCAUGCUCCUCAUAUCUUCUGCACUGUUCCGCAGUAAUACCUACAAAAACAGUGGGGCUAUCCACCACAGAGUCUCUGGUAUGCCAUGCCCGACUCUAUUUGGUCAUCCUUUCUAGCAUCUCUGAAGCCUCUGGAAAUGUAGGAUCAACAAACGAACCACCACCAGCAUUGUCUACAAUUGGCUUAGUAACAGAGUUAAGAGCCCUGUACAAAGUCUUCAUCAAGUGUAUGCCCGUCAUAUUGUGGUUCGGACACUGUGUCAGCUUCUUCUUGAAUCUCUCCCAGGUUUCAUGCAAAGCUUCAGUUGGGAGCUGCCUAAAGUUUUUGAUCUCAUCCCUCAACUGUACCCUCCUGGAAGGCGGAAAGAACCUUUUUAGGAAAGCUCAUUUUAACUACCUCCAGUUAGUUAUAGAAUCGGGUGUCAGCUCAUUCAGCCACAAUGUUGCCUCCCCAUACAGGGACAACGAAAACAAUCUCAACCGAAUAGUAUUCUGGCCCACUCCUGGGUUAUCAAAAGAUUUACAAAUGGUGACAAAAUUCACCAGAUGCAAGUUUGGGUCAUCCCUAGGAAGGCCACCAAAAAACCCCUUCAGAUUGAGGAGUUAGAUUAUAGUACUCGUAAUGUUGAAUUUUGCCCCAGGUGCCAACGGUGGAGGAAUUAUUGCACCCGUUUCACCUGCUCCAUCCAUUCCAUCAUUAUCAGCAUUUAGGUCGUACUGGAUCAGCUGGUAGUCUUGCCUUCUUUGGAAUGGACGGUUCCUAUUAAAAUUACGUUGUAGUGGUGCAGCUACUUGCUCUGUACGCCUUGGGUUACCAGGAUUCAAAAACUCCUCGUCUCCCAAAUAUUCAUCCUCAUGAUUUGGAUGUCGUGCUUGUUGACCGAUAUUCUGCAUAUUCACCUGAGCUCUAGCUAUGGCUGCUAAUCUGUCAGCCUCUUGUUGUUCUUCCAUUCUUCCAAUUCAUUGCGGUUCUGGAUUAAGAGGUAAUAAUGGUUCUUCAGAACUUCUGGUUCUUGGCAUACACUAUAAAUAUCCUGCAAUAAACAAAAACAACAAAUAAACGUAAAUCUAGGAAAUUUGACUAACAGUCAAUUAGCGUACACAAACUUUAAUUUACAAUCAUAUUCCCCAGCAACGACGCUAUUUUUUAUAAUGCUCAAACUACACCUCUCUAAUGAGAAUAUAAGUAGUCGUUGUCAAUAUAAAACCCAACUAGGUUGGGGUCAAAUCCCACAGGGAAUAUAGUGUGAACUCAAGUCGUUUGCUAUUUAAUCAACUAAUAGUUGAAUGUUUCCUGAAAUGGGGGUUUGAGUUUAAUAAGUAAUUUUUGGUCACUUUGUUUUCAGUGUUUGUAAUCAAGAGUUUAUGGAAUAAUCGAAAUUAUGUUCACUAGGGUUUUUGGUACUUGACAGAUGCUAAUAGUUGUUCAAGAUUCUCGCAGUAGGUAGGACAACAAGUUAUCUUUAUCGAAAUUACGUCUAAAUGUAUCUCGACCUACUUAAGCAUUUAAUUACCUAAUUCUCUCAGACUUAGGGAAUUUAUGUUCCCAGACCAGAUUUUACCUCAGGUUAAUCAACCUUGUUACAGCGCCAAUUAUUAAAUGGAAGGUUGGUGGCUUCCAAGUCCUUGUUGAUAAUUCACUUCCUACUGUAUUUGAUUUGAUUCCUAGAAUAAAAUUUGCCUCACCAAGAUCUUUCAUAUCAAAAUGGCUUCUAAGAAUAUUUUUAGUUUCACUAAUAACAUUCAUGUUAGAGACAAAGAUCAAUAAAUCAUGAACAUAUAAGCAAAUAAUAACAUGCGAAUUAUUCCAAGACUUAUGAUAUAUGCAUUUGUCACACUUAUUUAUUUUAAGUCCAUUAUCAAUCAUGCAGGAAUCAAACUUUUUAUGCCAUUGCUUUGGUGCUUGUUUUAAGCCAUAUAAGAAUUUAUUAAGUUUACACACUUUGCUUUCUUUUCCAGCUUCAACAAAACACUCGGGUUGUUCCAUAUAAAUCUCCUCGUUUAGGUCUCCAUUUAAAAAAGCAGUUUUUAUAUCCAUUUGAUGAAUUUGUAAAUCAAAAAUUGCCGUAAUAGCAACUAAAAUUCUAAUGGAUCUAAUUCUAGUUAUCGGAGAAAAAAUAUCAAAAAAUUCUAGGCCUUCUACUUAUUUAAAACCUUUAGUCACUAGCCUAGCUUUGUAUUUAUCAACAGAUCCAUCCGAUUUUAACUUUUUACGUAAGACCCAUUUACAUCCAAUUGUUUUGCAACCCGGUGGUAAAUCAACUAGCUUCCAAGUCUUAUUGAAAAUUAGUGAUUCCAUUUCAUCAUUUACAGCCUCUUUCCAAAAAAUAAUAAUUAGGGUCAUCUCCAACCAAAAUCUUUUUCUACUCUGGCUCGUUUACUUCUUCUUAACUCAAAAUCAUCAUUUUCUUUAUUUUAUAAAGUAGAAGUAAAAGAACUAGGUAGGGACAAAAUAUUUUCUUUAGUUCUUAGACCCCCACUAUUUUUAGAAUCAAAAGCGAAUUUAUUUUCAUGAAAAAUAGCUUCACGUGAUUCUAUUAUCACACUAUCUUCAAGAUUAAAAAAUCAAUAGCCGUACUAUUUGAAGCAUAACCAAGAAAAUCACAAGUAGUAACUUUUUUACCCAACUUAGAGAUUUAGGAUCCAUUAACCUUACAUAGGCUAAGCAACCCCAAACUCUUAAAUAUCCCAAAUUUGGCUUAUGACCUUUCCACAACUCAAAAUAUGUUCGUUUGGUCUUUUUAUAAGGCACACGAUUCAACACAUAAAAAACAGUCAAAAUAGCUUCACCCCAAAAACUUGAAGGUGCACAAGACUCAAUUAACAUGGCAUUAGUUAACUUAACCAAAGUUCUAUUCUUCCUUUCCUCUACACUAUUAGAUGUAGGAGAAUAAGGAGGAGGAGUUUCAUGAAUUAUAUCCAAUGAUCUAACAAGAGAAUUGAAAUCAUGUGACUCAUAUUCAUGGCCUCUAUCACUUCUUAUUCUUUUUAUUUUUCUAUUAAACUGAUUUUCAACUUCAUGGAGAAAAGUUUUAAAAUUCUCAAAUGCAUCGCUUUUAUUUUUUAUUAAGUAAACAUAUGCAAACUUAGAAAAAUCAUCAAUGAAAGUGAUAAAAUAUCUAUUUCCUCCAAGAGUUAAAAUUCCACCAAGUUCACAAACAUCAGUAUGUACUAGUUCUAAUAAUUCAGUUUUUCUUUCAACUUGAAAAUAAGGCCUUUUUAUGAUUUUGACUUUACUACAAGCCUCACAUUUUUCAAAGUUUUUUUAUCACUGGAAUUAUUCCUAAACUACUCAUAAUUCCCACAUAAUGAUCAUUUAUAUAACACAAACGAGCAUGCCAAAAAUUAAUAAAAGAAAGCAUAUAAACAGAAGUAGAUGUUUUAUUCAUUUAAACAUUCAACUUGAACAUACCAUCACAUGCAUACCCCUUUCCCACAAAUAUAUUAUUUUUAACAAUUACAUACUGAUCAGAUUCAAUAAUCUGUUUGAAGCCUGUUUUAUUAAGAAAAAAAUUAGACAUCAAUUUUUUUCUCACAGAAGGAGUAUAAAGUACAUAUUUUAAGAUUAAUACCCUUCCAGAAGUAAAUCUCAACUCGACAUCUCCCAUUCCAAGUACUUGAGUUGUGUGUGAAUCUCCAAGCAUGAUGAUUUUAGGCUCCUCAAAAUUUGUAUAUUUUUUAAACUAGUCUUUGUCAUAACAGACAUGACGGUUUGCAAAAAAGUCAGCCCACCAUCCAUUAAUAUUUGUCAUCAUGUUAAUGUCUGUUAUCACUGCCACAAAUAGUUCUUCAGUAAAGUUUGCUGAGGUAUAGUCCCACAUUUUCAAAAUUUGAAAAAUCUAGCAAUAUACCCACUCUUGCACAGACAAAGCACGGGUUUUUUGUUGUACAUGUUAAUUUUUUUCUUGGUUGUUUUCAUCAUUAUUGUCCUUGGAAUAUCUGCCCUCAUUUUUCUUGAUUUUUUUCUUUUUAGACUUCAAUGUAGUAUUUUUGUUCGUUUUAGGAGUAGCAUUAUUUAAAGAAGUUAAAUUUACCUUCGGUAUGAUGUUGUUCUCUUCUGUUUGCAAAACUGCAUCUUGGCCUCUUUCUUCUUCUUGCGUGCGGAUUGUCAUUAUCAAAGUCUCAAGAGAAGUUUCCUCUUAUUUGUGGCUCAUACUUUUUUGAAAUUUCUUCCACGAAGGUGGAAGUUUAUCAUUUAUGCCACAAAUAAUAAGGCUAUCUCCAAUUUUGACUUCCUCGGACCUGAGCUCGCCAACAAUAAUUAUGAAGUCUUGAGCUUAGUCUACCACUGAUUUGUUGUCCACCAUUUGAAAAUAAAAAAAUAUGCUAGCCGUAUAUUUUUUUGCUUCAUUCUCCUCAAUGUCAUACUUACUCUGCAAGGCUUUCCAAAUUUUCUUUGCACUAGAGUAAGUUAUACCAUAAUAAACAUAAAAAUUAUCAGAUAGACAAUUAAGGAAAAAGUAUCUGCACUUGUAGGAGUCGCCAUCGUAUUUUUCAACUUUCUCUUGAAGAGAAAUGAGUUCUUUAUCACUCAUGGAAGAGUUAUCUACUUUUUUUUAGUUCUUCUCAGUUAACACAUAAGAAAUAUUGAGAAGACUUAAGUAGAAAAGCACUUUACCCUUCCACAUUUUAAAGUGAGUAUCGUUAAACCAGAAUGGCUUGUUGAUAUCUCCCAACUUGACAUCCGUGGAUUUUUCAGUUGUUGCCAUUGAAUCUACUUAAAUUUUUGGUGAAAUUGCAAUAAACUUACAACUGAAAAUUACAAGUGAAGAAAAUAAAAAGAAUAUCUUCUUCUUCAGCUGAGGCGCGGAUAUCUCGCUCUCUUUAAGGAGAUUCAAUCCCCCUGCAGCAAAUGUUUCACCGUUCCAACAAUAAUCUUCUUGACUUGUCCCUCCGCCCCCCUCCUCUCUCCCUCGCCCCCAGGAUACAAUAGCCUUUCUUACAAAGAACAACUCAACAACUAUGGACAAGAGUUGAGUUCAAAGCUCCACAAAAAGAACACCUCCCUUCAACUAGUGAACUCUCUUUUUUACUAUCUUUUGUGAACUCUAUAUUAUCUUGUGGGUAUAUGUACCAAAACCAUGCAAAACUACCUCUAUUUAUAGGUGAGAAAUCUUUCAUGAAAUGAAUAAGAAUGAAUGCGGGAUCGUAAUGAUAGAAUAUCAAUAGCUUAGAGUUUACAAUAGUUACAUGAGUUACACCACAUAAAGAAUAGGGUAAUGGUGCAAUUAAGAAUGAAAGUUAAAAAAGUUAAAUGAAACUUAUGUCCACAUUCUACCACCACUAACUAUUGUCAUAAAACACAAGGAAGUAAAUAGGGAGUAAUGCUCUUGGACCUUUUUUGGAGGCUGAAUUAUCAGUCAUGCAAAUGUAUGUGGAUUACUGCCAAAUAAAGGUCAUUAACUCUUUCAAGAUUAAUAGGCAAUUGAAGUGACAGUUACUGCCAAGAAUGUAACUUAAUCCAUGCAACCACUAACGUCAAACAUUAAGACUUUUAAUACAAAUGAGACAAAUUAAUAAAAAUAUUAAAAUGCUCAAAAAACUAUCACUUUUAUAUACACACCUCUUUUGUUUUACCCUAUCUCAUUAAGCUCACUCACAUAACAAUAUGGAAGAGAGUUUUGUCUAUUAAUUUAUGAUUUAAUUUUUAGCACAAAUUUUUUCACUCCCAACCACAACACAUCAAUUGUACACACCAAUAACUAUUACUUUGGGGCUUCAAUUUCACUUUUCUCCUUCCUAUUUUUUUUUUCACAUGCCUUAACUCAUUAAAUUUUCACCUAAGCGCUAGGAGAUUUGGAUCAAAUUAAGAUCAAACAAAGAAGGGAUUAAGUUACAUAUGAAGCUAUAAAAGAAUAAGCCAAAGGCUCAAGGAGUUAACUAGAAUUAUGCACAGGUAUAGGUAAAAGUGGGUAUGAAACAAGGCUAUUACAGAAUAGUCUAUGUCAUCUCCUAAACCCAAACUCUUUAUUUUGCUUUGCACACACACCAGGUAAGUUCUAGACAUCAAAUGCACCAAGGAAUAUAUAACAACCUUACACACACAUGGCACAUGUUCGACUCAAGUAGGAUCAUCAUAUACUCUCCACCAAACAAUAGCAUGAAUUCAAAAUUAAUCCAACAAGUACAAGAGUCAUAAACUAGAACCUAGGAGUCUCAAACUUAGUAAUUCACACAAUCAACAUGCAUGAUUUUUACAAACAACACCACUUACAUUAUGUAAUCAUCCAUAGCACCAACAAGAACAUCUCACUUAUCCUACACAAAAAUUUUAAAUGUACUCCUAAAAAAAAAUUUGGGCUCAAGGAGCGCCCCAGUGGAAAAGAAAAACCACUAGGUAGGUGAAGUAUGCACCUACCAAACUGACCCAAAGAACUAAACACUAAAAAGAGAAAACAUUUUUGUAAUUUUUUUCAGAUUUAACCAAAAAUUAGAAAAACAACUAAGACUCAAGACCCUACAGCAUCACUUCACCCAAAACAAUGGAAAUUUCUCCACCCCAAGCAUAAAAAUCUACUUUGUCCCUAAAGCAAAAUUAAAAGUAGGAAUAGAAAUAUUCCCUGAGGCCUCUAGACCUAGAUAAUAGCAUCUUUAUACAUCAAGAGGGUCUGGGGACUCCACACUUAGUCUUAGUCAUACUCCUUAGCUCAGAUUUUCGAUAUUUAGACUUUCCAUCAACCUGUGACUAAACAAAAACAAAAACUAAGUGAAGUAAAAAUUAAAAAUACGAGAAAAAUACCUACUUUAACUUGGUAAUUUAGUGUCACGGCACGACCCACAUCAACUUUUUCCUCCACUUAAGGAUAUGAAUUCACCCCAAUCUUGCAUCCAUUUUUUUCCUCACUCAUAUGAUGGUGGUACAAAUAUGAAGAAACCGAAUAAUGAAUGGUGUAAGGUAAAACACUCAGCCUUGAAUUGAGGCAUGUUUUUCUGUUGCUUAUCUGGUGAAAAUUUAUGAAUAUGGGAUUCUUAUUCCUCAUCUUCACACUCUUCCACUAUUUUAGAUAACUCUAAAUACAUGUCAUCAUCUAAACAUAAUGUAGAAAAGUUCUUUGAAUGAGACCCAACCAAUCCCACAUCAAAAUCUACACCAUCCACAACACACUUACUCUUAUUCACCUUCUAUAUGUCAGUCUCAAGAAAAAAAGGACAGCUGAAUGACUAAAUUCUUGUGGUUGCACCAUAGAUUGGCUAGUAUCCACCUCAUCAAGUGAAGGUCCCAACCAUUUGCUUUUCUGAAAAUUUAAACAAUAACUCUCUCGGUGGGAUCCCCUACAAAAACAACAAGAAUCAUUAUCACUCACAAACCAUCUAUCCCAGGUUGACAUAUCACGAAGUAUGACAGAAAAGUAAAAGAAAAUAAAAAGAAAAAAUACUAAACUAUUACAUCUCAUUAUAGAAAAACUAAAAAUGAGACAGUUGCCUAUUAACAAGUCCCUGGCAACGGCAUCAAAAACUUAGUGCACCCAAGUGCACAUGCAAGUGUACGUUAUUCCACCAACUAGUAAAGUGAUAUUUUUCAAGCCAAGUAUCGAUCCCACGAAGACUUGUAUUAACAACUAUCUAAUUCAAGUUUAACUAUUGAGAUUAAAUUGGUACAAAGGUAACCACAAGAAUUGAAAGUUAAAAAUAAAGUAAACAAACAAUACAGUAAAUUAAAGGUCUUGGACAAUCAAUAGGGAGAAACCCAGGGUUAAAGAUCUGCGAACAAUCAUACUCUGCUAUUGAACCUCAUUGGUUAGGUUACUUAUCUUGGUUGUUGAUUCACAGUGUUGAUAUUCUAACUAUGGUCUUUCGAGCCUCUAAUCACCUAUUUAACUUAGACCCACAACUACAUCGUUGAGUGGAGAUGUGAGAACUAAGUUAAAUGCAUUCAUAUUUCAUACCAUAAGUGAAUCAAAUAGGGAAUUUAGGUAUAUUCCUAUCCUAAAUACAAAUUAUAACUUCAUUCUGUAGAAGAUUACAAUCCUAUUCUAUUUACCCCACGUUCUAUCCUCUUGUUCCUAUUUUCGAACUCACAAGAUGACAACGGAUGUAUUCUAAGGGUCGUAAAUCCUUAAAGUGGUAAUAAAAAGGUUAAAUAAAUAAUAAAAUGUUAUAAAUAAUUAAAACCAAAUCAGUUCAUACCAAGAGUAAUCAUUUUCUUGGUCUUAACCCCGGAAAAGGACUAUUAGCCGCUCAUGGACAUAACUGUAAUCGCAAUGAUUGAAUACAUGUUAAAAUUCAUAAACAACCGACAUAAUGGAAGAAAAUACCUAAUUUAAGUGUUCUCCAUCCCCCUCAAAGCUUCAAGGUCGUCCAAGGUGUGUAACAUAAUGCUUAAGGGUCCUAUUUAUAGGAUGUUACAAGUUGUUGAUUUUAACAUAGCGGCGUGUCACGCCCUUAUCAUAGUGAGCUAAUGGAAUUGACUUCCUAGGAUACACCAAAGUCCAUGGAACUUCCCUAAAGAAGUGCCUAAGGUCUGUGUCACAUUAAUGACUCCAAAACGUCCGUUUUGGUUAAAUCUUAUCCCGUGUAUUUGUCCAUCCUUUCCAAGACUUGUGGUAUUGUUUUCACUUGAUUUUUAGCUUGUGUAUCAUCCAUAUGUAAUCAUGAUCAAAUCACCAAGCAUCAUAUAUCAUCAAACACCACGUAUUAGAGAUCCAAAUGAUAUACAAUUCAAGAUGAUGAACUAGAAACUUAAGCUAAGAAGACUAGUUUUGUCCUUUUAAUCUUUAACUUAUUGUUUUGUCUCUUGACUUGUUUCAAUUGAACCUUAAACACUAUAAAUAAGUUAUUCCACUCAUAAUUACACAAUCAUACCCUUAGGACCUCAUUACACACACUAGAAUUCAUCGAGAUCAACUAGGACAACACAUAGCUCAAGCUAGUAAUAUUAGUUUUCUCGUCAAAACUCUAAGUGACCAAAUUAAUUCCAAACUUAUUUGAAACACACCUUAAACAUUGUAAUCAAGUAUUUUAAUACUUAGAUGCACAAUUAUAAAAAAAAAUCUCAUUAAGUACAAGAGAAGUCCUCAAAAUAAGGCUAAAUAAGUUCGGAUAACAACAUUGAGGUGCAUAAAUCCACCUUAGAUCAACCUUAUUCUGAUCCUUGAUCAAGAAGGAAAUGCAAUGUAAACUGCUUGAUUUCAUAUCUUCCUCAAUAGCAACAUGAAAUUGUUUGAUCGAACUUUUUUGGGGACCAAACCAAUUUUAAUUGAAAAAGGAUCUUUGAUAUAAGAAAUUAACCAAAAAGUUUAAUAACAAUUUAAAAUUUUGCCUUUUUGUUUUUUCAAAGGUCUUUUGCUUUUUGGGGGAGGGGGAACAAGUCUAUUUUAAUCGAAAAAGAAUUUUUGUGCAGGAAAUGCACCAUAAUAAGAAAACUAUUUUUAUUUAAAUUUAAUAUAUUUAUUAUAUUUAAUAUCACGUGAAAAGACUAUUUUAUCUAAAACAAAAAAAUUUAAUGAAGGGCAAAAAAAUUCAAACAACAUUUCUAAAAUCCUUCCACUUUUAAUAUAUUAAAAAUUAGAGAUUAAAGAUUAUUAAUUUUUUAAUACAUAAUGACUUAUAAUAAUUAAUUAAAAAUAAAAUAUUAUUAAGUAUUUAAUGUAUAAAUAACUUAUAAUGACUAAUUAAAAGUCAUAUAGCAGCAACUUCAUAAGUAGAGAGACUGUUUUCGAUGUUCGAGUGAUAUUAAAAAUUUUAAAAAAAAAAAGAAAAUGCACAGCAAAUAUGUGCAACGAAAUGGUGACAACGUUUCUUUUACCAAAAAACACUUAUUUUUGUUUUAAUCUUAAAUGUUGUCAAAAAAAAUAUUUCAUUUGUCAAGAAGUUUUUUAUCAUAUUUUCAUAAAAUUCAACGUUUCUUUUACCAAAGUGUUUAUAAUUUGUUUGUCACUUUUUAUGCUCUUUGACUAAUUCCCCUUCAUCAAAUUCAAAAUUCUCUCUACUGAAUGUUGGACCCUCAAUUUUCUGAAAGUACACCCACACCAUCGGAGCCCCCAGAUCCGAUGGCAAUCGAAAUCCCCAGCAUCUUAAAUUCCAUUACACCGACAAAUAGCUUCAAGGACAUGCUACUGAACAAAGCCAAUGAUCUCAACAAAUGCUAUACCCACUUCAACGUAAAAGAACCAAGGACCCUUUCGGAAGAAGAUGAAGAGUCAAUCCAUUUAUCAGAUGAAGAAAAGCAUCAGAUAUACCGACCUUGGCGAUUCUCAGUGAUCAUAAAGCUGACAAACAAAUGUCUAGCACACAAUUACUUGAGAAUCAAACUAAUAGACCUUUGGAAACUCACUGAGCCACUGAUUCUCAUCGACUUUGAUUGUGACUACUACAUAGCAAAAUUCAAUAAACCUAAGAACUCGACAAAAGCUCUACAUGGAGUCCUUGGUUCAUAGCAGGGAGCUUUUUGAGAGUAAGGCAAUGGGAGUCAAACUUCAUACUAGAGGAGGCAUCACAAAUGCACACAGCAAUUUGGCUCAGAUUACCCCAAUUAGCCACAAAGUUCUAUGACCACAGCGUACUGGAGAAAAUAGGAUCCAAACUAGGUAUGAUGCUGAAGAUAGACACAUGCACUUCUUUCACACUCAGAGAAAGAUAUGCUAGAGCGUGUAUCCAAGUUCCCCUGGGUAUACCUCUGAAAAGUCAUAUCUGCAUAGGCCACCACAAGCAUAAGGUGGUAUAUGAAGGAGAUGGUUUUCUUUUUAUAAGUUAUGGCCGCCUAGGACACAUCAAAAAACUAUGCCCACACACAGCUUUAAGCACCACCACAAUCACAGAGCAAUCACCUCCAAAAAUUGAUACAUCAAAUGAAGACAGUAAAGGAUAGCAAGUGGUAUCCUUCCCAAAAAAUAAAAGGCAACCCAAAUUCCAAACGAUUGCCAGCAAACCAUGGGUGCAAGGAAGUGCCCACUGGAGAAUACCAGCAGGUAAGACGCACAGAUGACGGCUCAGGUUAGACUCGAAACUUAUAAAACACUGCCAAUGGCACAGGCAAAAUAGCCCCCGAAAAUAUUUUGCCUUCUCAAGCACAAAGAAAAGGGAAAAUGAAAUGGAAACUAGGUCAACUAGUACACGCAAAAAAGUUGUUGCUACUAGUCCCUCUUCUGAAGUCAAACCCCUCACCAUCCUCAUGGGCCUAAUAUUAAUCACCACAACAACCCAUAUAUUUUUAAUAAAUGUCACCAAACUGGUUCUUAAAUAACUUUUAAUAAUAAUAAAGGGGAAAAGAGGGCCCACCUCCUACUAACACUGAUGAGGGUCCAAUGGAGACCUUCGUCUCUACAGCUUCUGUGGUGGUAACCAACGCUAAGAGUAGGGAUAAUCAUCACUUAAAGAUGAUUGACAUGACCGACGCGGUCAUGUCCAUUAACUCCUCACCUCCUUUUAUCCCCAAAUGGAGCAACAAUGAAGCUCCUAUUAAUUCUAACCACCCUAAGACCACCCAACCUACUAAUGGCAACUCUACCAAUGCUAAAGGAACCUCUCCUAUUCGUUUUAGCACUACUCCCACCCAAUAGAGUACCGACAUCAUGGGCAAAGUUGGCAUUCAAAGGGAAGACCAUCUCUUAUUGCAUCAUAGUGGGGGGACUAACCCAUUGUGCUAAUGAUUCAAGACCCUGCCUGAAUGGCCAAAAUCAUCAAGGACGGGGUAGAUUAUAUAGUACAAGGGUUGGGUUACCAGGCGUGGACUCACACAAUGACAUAAACACAAAUGAUGGGUACUGAAUGUGAUUAAUACCCAUGAGUUCAACUCUUGGAUGACCUACAUAUUCAAGAGUUUGCCUUAUUAUCUAGAGACUCCUUACCUCUCGUAUAUGGACAGCUUAACCUUUGUACCAUGGAUACCUCCAACUCCUCAAGGGUUGACUAAUCCAAACAAUGCUUAAGCCACCGAGGAAACCGAAAGGGUAGAAGACCCAGAAAAAGCACAACCAUCCUUACUAGAGGAACUUCAGAAAAUAAAUGCAGAACUGGAGCAUUUCUUGGAAACCUUUGAAGAACCCAAUAUAGACUUCUUCAUGCUCAAAAAUCCACUUUAAAAAGAGUACUCAGAGUCAUUCAGCACAAUUACUAUAGUACUCUAUCACGGGGGAAUAAAAACCUUCAAGCUGAUGGUGAGGAACAUGAACAGUCAGGGGAAUGCAGCAGUCUCUCUAAGUCCAUAUUUGGUACAAGGGAAAAUGACAAGGCAACCAACCCAACUGACUCUAUGAAUUUUAUAAUUUGGAACACAAGGGGGGUCAAUAGUGAUAGCUUUAGAAGACACUACAUUGAUCUUGUUAAAAAUCAUAACCCCAUGGUUGUAGUACUAUUAGAAACUAAGAUGGUGGAUCACAAAAACCUUACUGAGAUGCUCAAGUUCGACUCACAUUUUGAAUCUAGUGUUGAGGGUUGAAAGGGUGGGAUUGUUAUAAUGUGGAAGGAGGAAGCUGUCAAGAUCCAAAAUUUCUGUAUAUCUUCUCUAGGUAUUCACACUAUAAUCAAGGUAAGGACUAAUCCCAGGCCCUAGUUAUUUUCUGCUAUAUAUGCUAGUCCUGACCCCAGCAUUCGAACCACCCUUUGGGAGGAAUUACGCCAAAUAUGCUCCAUUCACAAAGGGGAUUGGUUAAUUGGUGGGGACUUUAAUAAAGUUCUUACAGCCAAUGAAAAGCUUAGAGGGGCUCCCAUCAACAUUACUAGAACUAGCAAGUUUUGGGACUGCUUUAACUUUCAUAACAUGGUGGACCUAGGCUUUCGAGGUCCAAAAUAUACCUGGGCCAAUAGGAGACAUCGUAAUAGAACUACUUUAAUCUAGGAAAUACUUGACAGGUGUGUUGUCAAUGAAUCUUGGAUAAAUCUACUUAAGUGUGAGAAAGAUUUCUGGAGAACCAGAUCCAGAAUAACCUGGCUCACAGAUGGUGAUGCAAAUACUUCUUUCUUUCAUGCAUCCACUAUUAAUAGAAAGGGAAGGAACAAAAUCAAUGAACUCAGGGAUGAAGUGGGUAAUGUCUAUAGAAAGAAAGACAGUAUAGUGAAUCAUGUCAUGCAAUAUUUCACCAGUUUGUAUACUACUAGCCAUGUUAGCUCCCCCAACAGUUACUUUGUCCCUACAAACCAUAACAUAAGGAUCAAUGAUAGCAUGUAUAAUAGUCUUGCAGCCCCCCUAAGGGACUCAGAGAUCAUGCUAACCAUCAAAUUCUUUUGAACCCUUGAAAUCUCCUGGGCCUGAUGGUCUUCAUACUUUUUUUUCAGAAGUAUUGGACUGAUAUUGGCCAAAAGACUAUAUUCUUCUGUAAAAAGGUCUUCUCUGAGAAUGUUAUGCCUGCUGAUAACAACAAAACUCUUAUUUUCCUCAUUCCUAGGAGUAGAAAUGUUGAUACCCUCAGAAACUUCAGGCCUAUUGGCCUGUACAAUACCAGCUACAAAAUUAUUACCAAAAUCAUUGCUAACAAAAUCAAGCCUAUCUUGCAAUAUAUCAUCAGCCCCACCCAGGACAGUUUCCUGGCCAACAGAAGGGUUGUUGAUCAAGCCAUCAUCAUUCAAGAAUACAUUACUCACUUGAAUAACAUGAAAGGUAAAGAGGCUAACAUAAUCAUUAAAAUUGACUUCGAGAAAGCUUUUGAUAAGCUUGAAUGGGCCAAAGAUACAUUUCUCUUCUUUUGUUUCCCUAGGAACCUUACUAACCUGAUCCUUUCCUGCAUUACCUCCACCUCUAUAGUUGUGAUAGUCAAUGGUAGGAGAGCUGACUUCUUCAAUACCUCUAGAGGUAUUAGGCAGAGGGAUCCAAUCUCUUCCUACAUCUUCAUCAUGUGCCUAAAAAAAAUGUCAAGGGGUAUACAAGCUGAGGUACAUGCUAAGACUUGGACUCCUAUCAUUAUCUACCCCAGAGGUCCCAAGCUCUCCCACUUGUUCUUUGCAGACGACCUCACUCUGCUGGAAAAAGCUACCCCUACAAACUGCCAGACCAUAGCUACUAUUUUAGACACCUUCAACAAACUCUCAGGACAAACCAUCAAUCAUCUCAAGUCCAAAGUCAUCUACUCUAAAAAUUACUCCUCUUUAUUGGACAACCAGUGUUGCCAGAUCCUCCAUAUCCAGUCAAGCCCCUCUUUUGGUAGAUAUCUUGGGUUUCCUAUCUUAUCCAAAAAAACCCAGGAAUAGUGUCUUUCAGUUUAUCAUUGAUAACAUGCAUACCAGCUUGCUGGUUGGAAAACCAAUCUCCUGAAUAUGGCUGGAAGAACUGUCCUAACCAAAUCUACCCUCAGUGCCAUGCCUACCCAUAUCAUGCAGUAUAUUAGAAUUCCCAAUAAAGUCACUGAGACUUGCAAUAAAAUCCAAAGAGACUUUGUCUGGGGUAGCAGCCCUGACAAAAAAAUUUCACCUUCUUAACUAGGAUGUCCUAACCUUUGAAAAAAGGCAUGGUGGGAUGGGCCUCCAUAAGACUAAGCUCAGGAAUAAGGCUCUACAUGCUAGCCUUGCUUGGAGGUUGUUCCACCAACGCACAACCUUGUGGGGACAAGUUCUUCUAACCAAAUACAAUAAGCCCCUUAGAAAGCCAGGCACUAACUAGUACAACUCCGAGACCUGGAAAAACAUCAGGAGAGGCUGGGUUGAUUGCUUCUUGGGGAUAAGAUGGAGAGUGGGAAAGGGGGAUAGGGUUAAUUUCCUCCAAGAUACUUGGAUUCCCCACCUAGGUAGCCUUAGAACCAUUAUUCAUGAUCCCAUGAAUAAGAUGGAUUCUACUAUCAUGGUAAAGGAUAAACUUGUAAAUGGAGAGUGGCAUUUCUCUAAAAUCUCCUUUGAAAUCCCUAAGACCAUCAAAGAUACUAUCAUCGGUCACUCCACCACCCUUAACAGCAAUAGGGAAGAAAAGGUGGCCUGGAACUGUAGUACCACUGGUACCUUUACCACUGGAAGCAUGUACACAUACCUUAGGAACCUAAAAAUCACCCAUACCAGGGGAAAAACUUUGCCCUCGUCUGGAAAGCUGAUGCUCCUAACAAAACAAGGACCUUUCUCUGGUUCUUCAUGCACAACAGGAUCCCAACCAGUAGCUUCCUCAACCACAGAGGAAUUAAUAUUCCUCCUCAAUGCUAGUUCUGUAACCACAAUAAGGAAGAUAUUAACCAUACCUUCUUCUACUGUGCCAAUGCAACUCAAUUCUGGACCAAUCUUAUCCAAAAGGCCCAAUACCAGCCUACCUUCCUCCUCACCAAUAUAAGCGACACUAACUGGCACAUUUGGGGGGAUUCAUACAAAGUCAAACCUUUCAAUACUUGGCUAUCCUGGGGGUCUCUUUUACCUCAUUGUUUAAGGAAACUAUGGCUCACUAGAAAUGAUAAUCUUUUCAACAAUCACCAUAACUUGGCCAAGGUUGAUAAUGUCAUUGCUAAUGCCAUAGAGUACCAGCUCUUAGCCAACACUAAGUCUAAUCUGAGUUCCCAUCGCACUACCAUACGAUUUAAAUGGCAACUCCCCACUAAUACAGCUAUCAAGCUCAACACAGAUGGCUCUGCAAAGGAUAAUCCUAGUUCUAGUGGAAUAGAUGGGGUCUUCUGUGGGAUAAUGAGGAGUGGAUUCUUGAUUUCUACCAUCAUAUUCCACACACCACUCCCACAAUGGUUGAAUUACUUGCUAUUAGAUGUGGACUCCGUCUAGCUAGCCAAAAUAACUUCACAUCCUUAUGCAUAAAGGUGGACUCAAUGGUGGCCUUCAAAAUACUCACUACUAACCUUCCCCUUUAUCAUGGUAUUGUUUUUUAUUGCAGGAUGUUUCUAAGAGAAAUGGGAGUAGCACCUCCAACGCAGAUAUAUAGGGAACAAAAUGUUGUGGCUGAUCGUUUUGCAAAGGAAGGCACAAUCAUACCUUUUGCUAGGAAACCAGUCACCACAGCAACCCCCCACCCUUUGUACUUAAAUAUGUAUUAGAUGACUGCUCUACAAAGACUUCCCUCGUAGAAUUAAUCGAGCAAACACAGGUCAAGACAUGACAUGACUGAUACCUUUUUUUGCUCACAAGGUCGGGUUGUGACCCUGAACAAUAAUGUUUUGGCUCUUACACCUGGAAGGAGCACCAAACCCCCCCCCCCCCACACACACACAUAAUCUUCUAAUGAAAUAGUCUGUUUUCACCAAAAAAAAAAAGAAACUUAAAAAAAACAAGAAAGAGAGAGAGAGUCAAAAGCUAUUAAAAUUCAAAUAUUGAAAUUAAGGUUAGAACUAAAGUCACCUGCAAACUUGACUAUUCUUAUUAAAUGUGACUUCGACGUUGUGUUUCUUAAAAGGGAAUUGAAUACUUACUUUGAUCGCGAAAAUUAAAAAAUUUUAAUGUUGAAAUUGAAAUUUAAAGUUGUGUUCGAUCAUAAAUAUAAAUUAAAUUUAUUUUAAAUUUUUUAUGAGAAAAAGUAAACGUGAAAACUUGGCUGAAAGAAGUAAAAUUUUCAUUACUGACCCUCGUACUUUUAUCCCGAGCAUAUUAUUAAAAGAGAGGCAGCAUAUAACACAUUUAUGGUCCAUCUGAUAGAGUGCAUAAAAAUCUAUAAUAUAUAUUAAAAGUGUGAAGACUUUUAUAAAAGUGAUUUGAACUUUUUGUCCUUCAUUGAAAUACUCUGCAAUAGAUAAAAUUAUCUUUUCACCUUUUUCUUUCAAUUAUUGUCAUUUAAUAACUUUCCAUAAUUUAAUAUGUUGAAAUUAAUUAAAGUCCUUAUUUGAUUUAGGUAAGAAAUUAUAACAUUCAACACUUCUAAAUCAAUUAAAUUUUACCUUAUAUAUAAAAAAAAUAAUAUGUUGAAAUUAAUUAAAGUCCUUAUUUGAUAUAUGUAAUAAAUCGUAAUAUUCAACACUUCUAAAUUAAUUAGAAUUUUACGACGUCUUCUACGUACAAACAUAUGGCUUAUUAUGGUUUUAGGUUUGGGAGGGAAAAAAUGGCGUGUCGGCAAAAAAAAAAAGAUAUGAAAAUAGCCCUUGAAUUCAAAUUCCAUUUCUUAGCCAUUUUGGUAGUUGCGCAGCUUUCUUUGACUUUUUUUUUUUUUUAAUUUUGAUGAUUUCGUAUUUUUAAUUCACUGCUCCCUUUUUAAAAAAAUAAAAAAAAUUCUAUUAAUUUUUAAUUUUAGUAAAAAUCAUCAUGAACAUGCACCCAUAAUUAACUUUCUUCUCCAAUUAAUCAUGAACACCAAUUAAAUUUUUUUUUUCAUUUGAUCAUUCAUGCAAACAAACAACAACAGCUCCAAUUGAAAUUGAGUGUGUUUUGAGAUUUCAGGCUAAGAUUUUUUUUUUUUUGCAGCUCUUUGUUUUUUAAAAAAAAAAUAAUAUUUUCUUAAUUGUAUUAUUGUGGAACAAUAGAAUACAUAUCUACAUAUAUACAACAUAAUAUAAUAGUGUUAUAAAUAUUUCUAUACAACAAUGAUAUAGUUUCUACACACAUCAUGUACUACACACAUCAUAGACAAAAAACUAUCAUAUACUAUACCAUACUGAUACAAUCGUUAUACCAUUUUGAUACAAUCCCUAUAACCAUAUUGAUACACCCCCUAUAUCAUAUUGAUACUUAUUUAGAUACAUAUUUUAUACAAUUAUUAUACAGUUUCUAUACACAUUUUAUACAUAUACAGAUUUUAUACAACAAUGAUACAGUUUCUAUACGUCUUAUAUAUAUAGUUUCUAUACACAUUUUAUCCAACAAUUAUACAAUUUUAUACACAUUUUAUAAACAAUUAGACAGUUUCUACACACAUUUUAUACAUAUACAGAUUUUAUACAACAAUGAUACUGUUUCUAUAUACCUUUUAUAUAUAUAGUUUCUAUACUCAUUUUAUGCAAUAAUUAUACAGUUUUUAUACACAUUCUAUCCAAUCUUUAGCUGCAAUUAUUAUUCGAAUGUGUAUUCCGUACAUCAACUAUCAAUUUCUAUACAUAUUUUAUACUAUUUUAUAUAUAUAUUUUAUAGAGUUAUAUAAUUUCUAUACAUAUAUCUUAUAGAGAUACAUAUUUAUAUAACAAUUAUAUUUAAUUAUCAUUUUUUAAUAAAAAAAUAAAAUAUUUUUCAGUUAAAAAUUUUGUAGCAAAAAAUAAAAAAACUGAGUAAAGGGCCGAAUGGCCAAAGGAAAGGCCAAAAAUGGCCUAAUUAACAAAGGGAAGGACUGAAGAUGUCAAAUGACCCAAUGGCCAUAAAGUGGCAUUUCUUUUGCCGACAGGACAUUACCUGUCCAUAUGCCCAAACUUGGAUUAUUAUUUUUUUAAAAGGCUCUACAAUGUCCUUUUCCCUUUAGGUUUUCUUAGUGUGAUGUUAAUUCAAAUCGUCUUCUUGCAUUCAUACCAUCAAAUGUUCUGAGAUUAAUUUUGGUUUCAGUAAGUUAACUACUUAUGUGAUGCCAGUACACGAGAAUAUACUAAUAUAUAUAUAUAUAUAUAUAUAUAUGUGUGUGUGUGUGUGUGUGUGUGUUUUUAUACGAGAAUUUGGUAGUAUAGUGUUUGCUUAGAUAAAUUUAAUUAGUCUUUGAUGAAAAAGAUUAUCCCGAAGCUUAUUAGUCAUGUUUUAUUUUUUAAAAAAGUUCUUAAAGUUAAAACAUGAUCGGAUUCAUCCAUAUAGCGUAGGUGAAUGCCUUUAAUUAUGUCACAAUAAAGGCAAGUACCGAUGAAGCUUGUAAAAACUUGAUUUUUGAAUCAAUAAUUUUCACUUUAUACAUUAAAAUAUAUUAUUUUUAGGUUAUGAGUAUUAUUUUUGUUAUAAAACUUUAUAAGUUAGAGAGUAGCUUUUGCUAAUAGGUCUCUAGGUUUGUGAUUUUCAAGCUUUUUUUCUUCUGGGCAAAAAUCUUUUAUAUUUCGUGAAGUUAGAGGGUUGUUUUCGAAACUCAAAUAGUAUUGCAAAAUUAUUUAGUAUUUGAAUAUUUUACAUGGAUAAAUAUAUAUCGCAUUUAAGGAAUAUUAUCAAUAUCACAACAAAAGUUUUAAUCAAGAUUAUAAUUUUCUUCAUAUAUACAAUUUUCUUGUUUCAUGUGAGAUACACGUGCAAAGCACGUACGCUAAAUUAGUAGUACUAAAUAGGAUACACUAAAUUAGUAGUACUAAAUAAAAUAUAUUAGUAAUGCUGAUAUUAGUUAUAUCAAAAUUAUUCUUAUUCAAUGUUUGAUUUGAUAUAUUCAAAAAACUUUUUUUUCUUCUCCAUUCCUUUUACUAUUUUACUAAUAAUAGAAAUUAGACUGAAAAUCCUAACGCCUCAAAAAGUGAGAUGGACAAGAAAAAUAAAAAGAUUGUUAUGAUAUAUAUCAAUUAUAGUGAAUGUCUAUUAAGAUCUAUCAAGAUCUAUUUGAUGUCUAUUAAGAUUUGAUGUAUCUGUCUUUAGUGUGAAACUAGGAGCAAAUUUCCCCUAUAAAUAUAAGAGCUCCCUUCAUUGUAAAUCAAUCCUCGAGAGAAAUAAGAAUUACUCUCUGUUGACACCUAAUAUUUUUCCUCCACGACUACGUUUAAUCUCGAGUUUCUUCAAUUUUCAAAUAAAAUCACAACAAUUAUUUUUUCCAAAUAAAUGCAUUUUAAAAUAGGUAUUUGGGCUAAAUCUGUUAUUUAAGUGAUAAUUAUAUAUUUUUGUAUUUACAUAUACGAGAUUGUAUAAAUGGUGUCAUUUAAAUGAACAUUUUCAUCAAUAUCGAAUUUUAAUUAAUGAUAAUCUUUGAAAAUAAAUGUAAUCAUCAAAAUCUUGAUUUAAAUAUAAAUUAUUCUCAAAAAUAAUUUAUUUGGAUAAAUAUGUGCUUGAUUUUAUCGAAUCAAGAAGCUUGGGAUUAAGUGAGGUAUUAAUUUAUAUCGAAUUUCGGUUUAAUUUGGCCAAUCUAUUAAAUUUGGCUAUAAGUGAAAUCAAAUUGGCCUCAAUUGCAAUGCAAUUGGCUAAUUGAUUUUCAAUUUGGCUAAAAUUUAAACGGAUUCAGCUAAUUCUUAAUUCAAUUGGGGUUAUUUAUUAAAUAAUCCCAAUCUUGAACCAAUUAAUUUAAUCCCAUUAACAGGCCCAAAAGAAACCAAAACCAAUCCAAGCCCAAUUUUAAGACCAACCAGCAACCCACCUCCUUUUCUUUUAAUGUUACCAGCCUAGUACCCUCACCAAUCCGGCCCAUUUCCUUCUUUUCAAUAGCAGAAACAACAGCUUGAAUGAUGAAGAACAGUCCCAAAUCGCGACAACACCAACAAACCCUUCGAACAACAUCCAUCACCCGAUACCGAGUAAUCCGAACUUGGAAACCCACCGACCCGGUAAACCUAACCCGAUAAACUUUCCUCUCAACGUCUCUGUAUUCCCAGAACGAGACAAGAACAUCGAAUGUUCUAGGGAAUGCUAUGUGUUACCUUCAAAUGCAUUCCUCAAAUACUAACCGUUGGGAGAUUCUAAAUUUCUCAACAAAUUUGUACGAAUAGUAUACAGCUCACUCUCUUAUCCUCUUUUCAAAAUCCCAAAAUUACCCCAGAUUUAAAUUCAUUCCACAUCGUUAAAUCUGGAAACGAACCCUAGCUCAUUAUCUAUAUAAAGCCGAUUUUAGGAGCAAACAAGAGGGGGUGGGAAUUUGGAGUUCAAAAAUUUUAGGUUGGGAAAUUCGGGUUGAAAAUUUUGGGGGUCAAAAAGUUGUUAGUCUCAAAAGAGAGAAAAAUUUCCUGGUUUCUACGGAGGUUCGAAAACUCUCAGGUUAAGAAUUUUAGGGAUUUUUUGGAGGGGGGCUUUGAAAAUUGGGAGUUAGAGAUUGGAGGGUUCGGAAUUUUGGGCUGAGAAAAUUCUAGGGGUUCUUUUUUCUCUACUUUCAGAAGGAUUUUCUUUUGGAUUGGAAAUCCUAGGGUUCAAAAGAUUCAAAAAUUGGGAGCUCUUUGGAGGUUCAAAAAUUGUCUGAGAAAGUUGGGAGGAAAACUUUCUUUGGGGGUUUGAAAAAAUUCUCGGAUUAGAAAAUUUGGGGUCUUCAUAAAAACUGAGAGUUGAAGGGUAGAGAAUUUUUUUUUGUUUUCUUUGGUUCUGAAAGACUGAUUCGAAAGAAGAUGCUACAAGGUUUCUAGUUUCUCGGUGGUGGUCGGAAUCCUAUCAUCAACUCGUUGUCCCGUUUUGCUGCCACGAAGGAGGUAAACACACGUUGGUCCCUUUUAAUUCCGUUGUUUCCUACUUCAUCCCCUCUUUCUUCGUAAAAGCAGUUAUUUGUUUAUCAUGAAUAAGGCUGGGAUUGUUUGCUGUGGUUGGCUAUGAUGUCCUUAGGAUGUGUUUGUGACUACUGUUAUGCUAUUUGCUGAAUCAGUGUUCAUGUCAAAAAUUUUAAUGCGAUUACGUUGAAUAUACUACCUCUUAAUAGAUGUUGGUGAUUAUCUGUGAGUUUGUAGUACAAAUCAUCACAUAUAUCGUUGAAACUUCGCUUUUCGUUUCUGGUUUAUUAUCUCGAUUCAGUUUUUCCUAUUGAUUAGGCCACUGUCCAUGAUUAAUUUGAUGUCAUGAGUAUCAAAAGUUGUUUUGAUUUGUUAUUCGAGUUCAAUCUCUAAAUUCAUGUUUAGUUUUGAUUAGGAAACCAUUUUAGCAUCAAAAAUUAUGUCAUGUUUAUACUUGAAUAUCGUGGCUUGACGCGCGAUAGUUUUAGCUAGAUAUUCCGCUUUAGUCUCGAUGCUCUGUUUAGUCUAUGGUGUUCUCAACUUGAUUAUCUAUCCUCAUGUUUAGUUUGGCUCUCAACGUAAGGUAAUUAGUAGCUAGGUCGUUAGGUCUCAGGAUAAUUUGUCCCUCUUAGGUGAUAUUUCAUUAAUUAACCCGAGAUUCCGUCAUAUCUUGUUGUAUUUAUAGAGUGUUUACUCAUGUUCAAAAAUUUGAAUGUUUUCCCCUGUUUUGAUAAAGUGUUGAUCUCAAAUCAUUUUCAUUUAUUGUUUAAUGUACAUGUUAUAUGUGCUUGACUGCCUUUGAAGUUUCUGGUGUGUCCAUGCUUGUAGAAUUAUUUUAUAUUAGGUUGAAAAUCAAGUGAUCUACUACACAGAAGUUGUUUGCAUUUAUCCCUUCAGUUAUUGUCCAACAUUUUUUCAUAUCAUCAAAGUUUUCAAACCAUGUUAAACCUCUAUUUAGCUAAUGUUGUUUUCCUGGUCAUUUCCUCAUUUCCUAUUUCCUACUUUGGUGAUCUACAUGACGCUUCUUUAUCUAUGCAUGAUUCCUUUAUAACGAUAGCUUUGUUUUCUUUUACUGUCAUUGGAUCCUAAUCCUUACCCUUUUUCUCUACAUGUACUAUUUGUUUUGAAUCCAAAAAUGGGUUCAAUUUCUCGCUGCAUUUUCUUCACGGCCAUUGAGGCCCGUCAUCUCCAUCGAUUCAAUUCUUAGUGAAAGUUCAACAUCAAUCUCGUGACACAAUGAAUAUAGGGAGUCGAAAGAAGAAGAAAUGGGUUAAAGUCCCAUUCUUGAAGCGGC